Molecule: ribosomal RNA, 253 nt
Filed under: uncultured bacterium
Lineage: Bacteria
Description: partial 16S ribosomal RNA
Rfam family: Bacterial small subunit ribosomal RNA
Source: RNAcentral
UACAGAGGUGGCAAGCGUUGUUCGGAAUUACUGGGCGUAAAGGGCGCGUAGGCGGCCUUCUAAGUCAGACGUGAAAUCCCCCGGCUUAACCUGGGAACUGCGUCUGAUACUGGAGGGCUUGAGUGCGGGAGAGGGAUGUGGAAUUCCAGGUGUAGCGGUGAAAUGCGUAGAUAUCUGGAGGAACACCGGUGGCGAAGGCGGCAUCCUGGACCGGCAUUGACGCUGAGGCGCGAAAGCCAGGGGAGCAAACGGG